CCCUUAGAUGUUCUGGGCCGCACGCGUGCUACACUGAGUGGAUCAGCGGGUCAGGUUGCGCGAAAGUGUUUCCUAAUCUUUAAAUCCGCUCGUGAUGGGGAUUGACGGUUGCAAUUUUCCGUCAUGAACGAGGAAUACCUUGUAAGCGCGGGUCAUCAUCCCGCGCUGAAUACGUCCCUUCCCUUUGUACACACCGCCCGUCGCUCCUACCGAUUGAGUGGUCCGGUGAGGCUUUGGGAUCUGAGCGGAAAGAGCGUUUCGCUGUUUCUGCCCGGAAAACUCAGUCGAACCUUAUCAUUUAGAGGAAGGAGAAGUCGUAACA
Molecule: ribosomal RNA, 322 nt
Filed under: uncultured eukaryote
Lineage: Eukaryota
Description: partial 18S ribosomal RNA
Rfam family: Eukaryotic small subunit ribosomal RNA
Source: RNAcentral